RNAcentral lists this ribosomal RNA (492 nucleotides) under uncultured bacterium. Its description in RNAcentral is "partial 16S ribosomal RNA". It matches the Rfam family "Bacterial small subunit ribosomal RNA", at positions 29 to 507 of the family's 1533-position model. The record is from RNAcentral.
AGUGAACGCUGGCGGUAGGCCUAACACAUGCAAGUCGAACGGCAGCACAGUAAGAGCUUGCUCUUACGGGUGGCGAGUGUCGGACGGGUGAGGAAUACAUCGGAAUCUACUUUUUCGUGGGGGAUAACGUAGGGAAACUUACGCUAAUACCGCAUACGACCUACGGGUGAAAGCAGGGGAUCUUCGGACCUUGCGCGAUUGAAUGAGCCGAUGUCGGAUUAGCUAGUUGGCGGGGUAAAGGCCCACCAAGGCGACGAUCCGUAGCUGGUCUGAGAUGAUGAUCAGCCACACUGGAACUGAGACACGGUCCAGACUCCUACGGGAGGCAGCAGUGGGGAAUAUUGGACAAUGGGCGCAAGCCUGAUCCAGCCAUACCGCGUGGGUGAAGAAGGCCUUCGGGUUGUAAAGCCCUUUUGUUGGGAAAGAAAAGCAGCAGGUUAAUACCCCGCUGUUCUGACGGUACCCAAAGAAUAAGCACCGGCUAACUUCGUG